This is a long non-coding RNA of Panicum virgatum (switchgrass), 763 nucleotides long. RefSeq lists it as uncharacterized. The record is from RefSeq and is a predicted model, not a curated record. NCBI's taxonomy places the organism in Eukaryota, Viridiplantae, Streptophyta, Magnoliopsida, Poales, Poaceae. The transcript is spliced from 3 exons.
AUAAAUAAUUGUGCAUCCAAGUGAGCGAGGACCGAGCAGCAAACUAUAGUAGUGAGGGUGAGGGAUAUGUGCAGUGGAGCCUGGUCUUCUCUCAUGUGCCACUGAUUGCGGCUAGGUUAUUACCAAUAUCUCUCUGCUGGCCGGGAUAGUGGGAUCUGAAUAACUUUAUAGCCUCAGCUCGAUCAAGAGCAGAUCUCUGAUCCCAAGCUGCCCAACAUCAUGGUGAACGAUGACCCUCUGGAUGGUGAAAACCCUAGAGCUCACACUGCGAAUAGCAUCCAUGAUAACAAGAGGGACCAAAUGUUCAACCUGUUUUCAUCCCAUGAUCAGUACAUCAAAAUGACGGUGUUUGACUUCGUCAUCCAAACCGCCACCAAAUCUUCAAGCCGACCCCGAUUGCAAGGACAAGCUAGCACGGUCGCUCCCGCAUAGCCUUUGAACUGGUGCUAUCCCGAUUGAGCUUUUCAUACCUCUCCUCUCUGCAGCCCAUUUUUUUUUCUGGUUUCUCCUACCAGAAUUAGCAUUCUUGACCUUGUAAGGCCUCUUCUUGACCUUGUAAGGCCCUGCCCCUGCGCUUGGCUCCUCCUUGCGCCUCUUGCCCGCUUCUUUCUUUUCGUGCGGGGAAUCAGUCUAACCAUUACCGUGUUUGCCAAGCUCCCGCAACCACCUAUUCCCUGCUCCCUUCUAUCCCUCCUGAGCUAGUAGCUUAUCCCAUGCAUGUAACCAUACAUGUUUGAUUUAUAUAAAGUGUUGGAUUAAUCUA